ACUGCUGAUUUGAAAGAGCAUGCUGCUGAUUUGAAAGAGCAUGCUGCUGCUGUGGAUUACUGUUCUGCAGCUGCUGUUGUUGCUGCUGCUGCAUAUGAGCCAUUUUUAACUUAAUCAGCGUAUCUGUAUCUCCACGAGACAAAAGAGAGGCACCGGCUUGCAAAGGAGAUCCAACAUUUGGCACCAUUUCACCAAUAGGAUUCGUAAGCCCAUCCUUCCCAGGCACAAUAUUCCGGUUGUUCCAAAGCAUUCUCAAUCUUCUAUUCUCAUCACUAGCAGAUGGUGAUGUUAAAUUUUGCUGUGCAAGCAUAAGCUGUUGCUGGUGUUGUGGUGUCAACAUCUGAAGUUGAUGAAAGGGCUGAGGAGCCUGUAUAAAAGGUUUUUGUUGCUGAAGAGAGCGAAGUUGGUCCAGUCCAGUGAGUGGCCACCCUUUUAAAGUCAAAUUGUUACCACCUUGAUUUGAUCCAUGAAUUCCUAUUAAUGAUGCCUCUGGACCAGCAGCUCUGGGAUUUAUUACAGGAUUAAUCUCACUCUUUAUGUCUGGUGUGGACCCUGGAAGUUGCUGAUUUCGAGCCUGAACCUGUGGGGACAUUCCACCCGCUGUACCAUGCAACACUUGCCCUGAAGGCUGCCCAGGUGCUGCAGACUUCAAUAUUGAGGCAUGAUUU
RNAcentral lists this unclassified non-coding RNA (668 nucleotides) under Hevea brasiliensis (rubber tree). The record is from RNAcentral. Lineage: Eukaryota; Viridiplantae; Streptophyta; Magnoliopsida; Malpighiales; Euphorbiaceae.